UACGGAGGGUGCGAGCGUUAAUCGGAAUUACUGGGCGUAAAGCGUGCGCAGGCGGUUCGUUGUGUCGGUGGUGAAAGCCCCGGGCUUAACCUGGGAAUGGCCAUGGAAACUGGCGAACUGGAGUGUGGCAGAGGGGGGUGGAAUUCCGCGUGUAGCAGUGAAAUGCGUAGAGAUGCGGAGGAACACCGAUGGCGAAGGCAGCCCCCUGGGCUAGCACUGACGCUCAGGCACGAAAGCGUGGGGAGCAAACAGG
Molecule: ribosomal RNA, 253 nt
Filed under: uncultured bacterium
Lineage: Bacteria
Description: partial 16S ribosomal RNA
Rfam family: Bacterial small subunit ribosomal RNA
Source: RNAcentral